Molecule: ribosomal RNA, 113 nt
Filed under: Acanthosepion pharaonis
Lineage: Eukaryota; Metazoa; Mollusca; Cephalopoda; Sepiida; Sepiidae
Source: RNAcentral
UCCGGCCGUAUCACGUUGAAACACCGAUUCUCGCAAGAUCACCAAAGUUAAGCAACGUUGAGCCUGGUGAGUACCUAUAUGGGUGUCCGCUUGGGAAUACCUGAUGCUGUAAG